Haliotis rubra (blacklip abalone) is the source of this 131-nucleotide long non-coding RNA. RefSeq lists it as uncharacterized. The transcript is spliced from 3 exons. Lineage: Eukaryota; Metazoa; Mollusca; Gastropoda; Lepetellida; Haliotidae. The record is from RefSeq and is a predicted model, not a curated record.
AUCUACACUUUUUCUCUACACAAUGCCAUUAUACGUUUGAAUAUUUGCUACUACCACCAAGAUCUGCACCCGAGGCGGCUCCACUCAGGCUCCCGCCCCAAGCUUCGACGCUCACCUCGGCGACCCUCCUA